This is a long non-coding RNA of Sebastes umbrosus (honeycomb rockfish), 282 nucleotides long. RefSeq lists it as uncharacterized. The transcript is spliced from 2 exons. NCBI's taxonomy places the organism in Eukaryota, Metazoa, Chordata, Actinopteri, Perciformes, Sebastidae. The record is from RefSeq and is a predicted model, not a curated record.
GUUUUGAUUUGUGAUUUAAAUGUGGACAGACAGGGAGGGGACAGCUAUGGAGAAUGCUCAGUUGUCCCCGGUCCGGUGCUUGUUCCUGAGUGGUGGAGACAGGAGGUUGACAUCAGAUGAGCGGAGGCUGCGGAAAGGUGCUGAAUGGAGGUUCAUCAGCUGCCUGGCUCUCUCUGGGAGAAGAUCCCUUCUUCCCACCGCCAUGAGGAAUCUUUUGGUUUUCAGCCGUUGUAUUGUUUGACUUGUGUUUUCUUUAUGAAUAAAUCACUUUUCUUAGUCUGC